RNAcentral lists this ribosomal RNA (399 nucleotides) under uncultured bacterium. RNAcentral's name for it is "bacterial SSU rRNA". It matches the Rfam family "Bacterial small subunit ribosomal RNA", at positions 30 to 410 of the family's 1533-position model. The record is from RNAcentral.
AUUGAACGCUGGCGGCGUGCCUAACACAUGCAAGUCGAGCGGUAACAGGUGUAGCAAUACAUGCUGACGAGCGGCGAACGGGUGAGUAAUGCUUUGGAAUCUUCCCAGUAGUGGGGAAUAACCAGUCGAAAGAUUGGCUAAUACCGCAUACGUCUGUAAAGGGAAAGCGGGGGACUCGCCUCUUCUUCGGAAGAGAGGCCUCGCGCUAUUGGACGAGCCAAAGUCGGAUUAGCUAGUUGGUGGGGUAAGUGGCCUACCAAGGCGACAAUCCGUAGCUGGUCUGAGAGGACGACCAGCCACACCGGAACUGAGACACGGUCCGGACUCCUACGGGAGGCAGCAGUGGGGAAUAUUGGACAAUGGGGAAACCCGUGAUCCAGCGACGCCGCGUGUGUGAAG